This is a long non-coding RNA of Amphibalanus amphitrite, 672 nucleotides long. RefSeq lists it as uncharacterized. NCBI's taxonomy places the organism in Eukaryota, Metazoa, Arthropoda, Thecostraca, Balanomorpha, Balanidae. The record is from RefSeq and is a predicted model, not a curated record. The transcript is spliced from 3 exons.
CAUACCGGGACCGAGGCUGGGCCACGGCGGGGCAGGCCUGGUGUGUCAGAGAGUGUACCGAUUAGUGUGAUGCGGCACAGUAUCCUUUGAGGGUCACGGAAUGACAUGACCUGGCUGUUUCUGUUCCGAGUGGGGCGGAAAGCCGGGGAAGGAGAGCCGCAGUAUGCGGCCGCAGCCCGCGUGGAGUGUGUGCGGCUAGACGUCAACGUGAGCGUGAUGGCACACCUCAGUGAUCUUGACAAGGGCAGGCUCAUCUUGCUUUUCGAUCAAGGUCACUCUGUCAAGCAGGCGGCAGAGAUUCUCGGUGUAGCUCUAACUACUGCCAGACGGUGGAAACACCGUUAUGAGCAGGAAGGGGAAAGGGGUUUGAAAGCGCGCUAUGAUCAGUGUGGAAGAAAACGGAAGACGACGGAGGAGGAAGACAGGCGCAUGGUGGAGGUGUUUUUGCCCUCCGUGGAGGAAAUGCGCCCCGACGAGGAGUGACCCUGGAGUCUGGACUCUAAUGCAAGACAACGCCCCUAUCCACACAGCGAGGGCAGUCAAGCAGUGGUUCGAAGACCACGCAGACUCAGUUCGUGCCAUCCCCUGGCCCUCAAUGAGCCCAGACCUGAACCCUAUCGAAAAUGUGUGGUCUCUAAUGGUUCAUGAGCUGGAGGAGGAGCUGCGCCAGCC